Molecule: long non-coding RNA, 1073 nt
Organism: Thunnus maccoyii (southern bluefin tuna)
Lineage: Eukaryota; Metazoa; Chordata; Actinopteri; Scombriformes; Scombridae
Exons: 2
Source: RefSeq, a predicted model, not a curated record
UGAAGUCGAGAGAAGCUGCAGAGUCGCUGAUAAUCAUCCCUUAUUUACACAUCAGACCUUUUAACUUGCACAGGUGGAAUCAGUAACAUUAAUGAUGGCUGCGUUAUUUUUAGCCGAGCCAUUUGCAGCGCUCUGCUGUUGCGCAUGCUCAGUCACUGACUCACUGGGGCAAUUAAUGUUGAUAGAGCCACCCUGAGGAAGACGUCUCCACGGGCAGCUUCUCCAAACCACUCAGGCCUUCAACCAGGCGACCUCCCCGCCUCCCUCAUCCACCACGACACACCAGGGAGAGAGAUUAUAUAUCAACUGAGGCCACCGGGUGAUGAAAUCCGUCUCCCCACGGUGAGGCGGGGAAUGUUAUUGCUUCCGCAGGUGUUACUGAGGCGGUGCGGCAGGCUUUUCUCCUCCUGGAGUGACUGUCAAAACACCUUUAACACCGUCCUUCAACAGCAGCUUUAAAAAAAAAAAAAAAAAGGCAGCAGCAGCAGCUCUGUGAAAGCUUAAUGAAUCUUUCAUGAAGCUGCUGUGGGAAUUAUUGCCUGAGAAGGUACUGAGAUCAGCCAUAAAGUCCUGGGACAUACAGGAUGAUGAGAGACGACUAGCAGGAGUGUAGAUAUUUCAUAAGUUUCAAAGAUGGGUCGCAACACAAGCACACGUCUUCCUCUCGGCGGCGGCUUAAGAACUCUUUUAACAACUAUUGCAUGACUUGUAGUGACUCCUGGAGUCAUACAACUUUUAUAUCUAUGGAAGUGCACUGACUGUCUGCCGGGUAAAAGGCGGACUGAACAAUUACAGGCUGCCUCGGAGUGUUUGUGAUGUAUAAUUAAACUUCAUCAAAUGGGUUUGUUUGCCUUGCACUCGGAGUUCAUGCAAACAAAGCCCAUUUACUCACACGAGUCGUAGAAGGCUGAAGACUGUAAUUGUCGUUAUCUUUAGAGCAGCUCGAGUCAAAUGCGACUUUCUAUACGUCAGAGUCAGGAGAGCAGAAGCAUGCAAAACAAUUACCCUUAAACUUAUGCUUGAAGGGUCUAUGUGUAGACUCUCUAUGUGAUUAAAAGUAUCUUACAAACUUA